AAAUUGAAGAGUUUGAUCAUGGCUCAGAUUGAACGCUGGCGGCAGGCCUAACACAUGCAAGUCGAACGGUAACAGGAAGCAGCUUGCUGCUUCGCUGACGAGUGGCGGACGGGUGAGUAAUGUCUGGGAAACUGCCUGAUGGAGGGGGAUAACUACUGGAAACGGUAGCUAAUACCGCAUAACGUCGAAAGACCAAA
This 197-nucleotide ribosomal RNA is filed under the name Escherichia coli. Its description in RNAcentral is "partial 16S ribosomal RNA". It matches the Rfam family "Bacterial small subunit ribosomal RNA", at positions 1 to 205 of the family's 1533-position model. The record is from RNAcentral. Lineage: Bacteria; Pseudomonadati; Pseudomonadota; Gammaproteobacteria; Enterobacterales; Enterobacteriaceae.